This 436-nucleotide ribosomal RNA is filed under the name uncultured bacterium. RNAcentral's name for it is "bacterial SSU rRNA". It matches the Rfam family "Bacterial small subunit ribosomal RNA", at positions 64 to 507 of the family's 1533-position model. The record is from RNAcentral.
GAGUGCGCGGUAGCAAUACUGGCGCACGGCGCACGGGUGCGUAACACGUGGGUAACCUGCCCUCCAAAGGGGGAUAACCCGCCGAAAGGCGGGCUAAUACCGCAUGACAUUCCGGUGGCUUCGGACGCCGGAAUCAAAGCCCGCAAGGGCGUUGGAGGAGGGGCCCGCGCCCGAUUAGCUAGUUGGUGAGGUAACGGCUCACCAAGGCUAUGAUCGGUAGCCGGUCUGAGAGGAUGGCCGGCCACACUGGAACUGAGACACGGUCCAGACUCCUACGGGAGGCAGCAGUGGGGAAUCUUGCGCAAUGGGCGAAAGCCUGACGCAGCGACGCCGCGUGGGGGAUGAAGCUUCUCGGAGUGUAAACCCCUUUCGACCCGGACGAAACGCCCGCAAGGGCUUGACGGUACGGGUAUAAGAAGCCCCGGCUAACUACGUG